Non-coding RNA from Trichonephila inaurata madagascariensis, 73 nucleotides. The record is from the annotation of a GenBank genome assembly. NCBI's taxonomy places the organism in Eukaryota, Metazoa, Arthropoda, Arachnida, Araneae, Nephilidae.
GUCCCUGUAGCACAAUGGAUAGUGCGUUGGAUCUCUAACCCAAUGGUCGUGGGGUCGAAUCCCACCCGGGAUG